GGAGCCUUUACAACUGCCUGGCAGAGUGCUGAAGUCUUUCCACACACUUUACCCUUAACUCUCAUGAGAGCCCUAGGAGAAGGCUUUACAGUCCCAGUUCUGAAGGGAAGGUGGGACAUCCUUCUAGAAUUAGCUGGAUUUGCCUCUCCUUGUACCCCGUGGCAGCUCCCUCAUGAAUAUAUAAGCAGCAUAAGCUCUCCAGAACAUCUGUCCAAGAGGAACAGCAGCGAGCGCUGCACCCCAGAUGGACUGUGAAAGCAGAUGUCCACUACUCAUCACAGAAGACCACUAAAGAGGAAAACUGUGACCAUGGCAAAAGCAUGAAAAGCUCCAGGCACAGACUGUGGUGUGAGUCCUCAAGAUAAAUUACCCCA
Bubalus bubalis (water buffalo) is the source of this 374-nucleotide long non-coding RNA. RefSeq lists it as uncharacterized. The transcript is spliced from 3 exons. The record is from RefSeq and is a predicted model, not a curated record. NCBI's taxonomy places the organism in Eukaryota, Metazoa, Chordata, Mammalia, Artiodactyla, Bovidae.